GCUUGACCUCAAAUCAGGUAGGAUUA
This 26-nucleotide ribosomal RNA is filed under the name Lentinula lateritia. RNAcentral describes it as "partial 25S rRNA". The record is from RNAcentral. Lineage: Eukaryota; Fungi; Basidiomycota; Agaricomycetes; Agaricales; Omphalotaceae.